RNAcentral lists this ribosomal RNA (495 nucleotides) under uncultured bacterium. Its description in RNAcentral is "partial 16S ribosomal RNA". It matches the Rfam family "Bacterial small subunit ribosomal RNA", at positions 28 to 507 of the family's 1533-position model. The record is from RNAcentral.
GAUGAACGCUGGCGGCGUGCCUAAUACAUGCAAGUAGAACGCUGAAGGAGGAGCUUGCUCUUCUGGAUGAGUUGCGAACGGGUGAGUAACGCGUAGGUAACCUGCCUGGUAGCGGGGGAUAACUAUUGGAAACGAUAGCUAAUACCGCAUGACAACAGUUAUUGCAUGAUAACUGUUUAAAAGGGGCAACUGCUCCACUACCAGAUGGACCUGCGUUGUAUUAGCUAGUUGGUGAGGUAACGGCUCACCAAGGCGACGAUACAUAGCCGACCUGAGAGGGUGAUCGGCCACACUGGGACUGAGACACGGCCCAGACUCCUACGGGAGGCAGCAGGAGGGAAACUUCGGCAAUGGACGGAAGUCUGACCGAGCAACGCCGCGUGAGUGAAGAAGGUUUUCGGAUCGUAAAGCUCUGUUGUAAGAGAAGAACGAGUGUGAGAGUGGAAAGUUCACACUGUGACGGUAUCUUACCAGAAAGGGACGGCUAACUACGUG